UACGGGAGGCAGCAGUGGGGAAUAUUGCACAAUGGGCGAAAGCCUGAUGCAGCUAUGCCGCGUGUAUGAAGAAGGCCUUAGGGUUGUAAAGUACUUUCAUCGGGGAGGAAAAAACAAAACUAAUAAUUUUAUUUCUUGACGUUACCCGAAAAAGAAGCACCGGCUAACUCCGUGCCAGCAGCCGCGGUAAUACGGAGGGUGCUAGCGUUAAUCAGAAUUACUGGGCGUAAAGAGCACGUAGGUGGUUUUUUUAAAGUCAGAUGUGAAAUCCCUGGGCUUAAACCUAGGAACUGCAUUUUGAAACUGAAAUACUAGAGUAUCGUAGAGGGAGGUAGAAUUCUAGGUGUAGCGGUGAAAUGCGUAGAUAUCUGGAGGAAUACCUGUGGCGAAAGCGGCCUCCUAAACGAAUACUGACACUGAGGUGCGAAAAGCGUGGGGAGCAAAACAGGGAUUAGAUACC
Molecule: ribosomal RNA, 460 nt
Filed under: uncultured bacterium
Lineage: Bacteria
Description: bacterial SSU rRNA
Rfam family: Bacterial small subunit ribosomal RNA
Source: RNAcentral